CUCGGGAGGGCAUGGGCCAGGC
RNAcentral lists this microRNA (22 nucleotides) under Homo sapiens (human). RNAcentral's name for it is "hsa-miR-6771-5p". Lineage: Eukaryota; Metazoa; Chordata; Mammalia; Primates; Hominidae. The record is from miRBase by way of RNAcentral.